GCCCCCGUAGCUCAUUUGGAUAGAGCAGCGGCCUUCUAAGCCGCUGGUAGCAGGUUCGAAUCCUGCCGGGGGUG
RNAcentral lists this transfer RNA (74 nucleotides) under Candidatus Zixiibacteriota bacterium. RNAcentral's name for it is "tRNA-Arg". It matches the Rfam family "tRNA". Rfam says of the family: Transfer RNA (tRNA) molecules are approximately 80 nucleotides in length. Their secondary structure includes four short double-helical elements and three loops (D, anti-codon, and T loops). Further hydrogen bonds mediate the characteristic L-shaped molecular structure. tRNAs have two regions of fundamental functional importance: the anti-codon, which is responsible for specific mRNA codon recognition, and the 3' end, to which the tRNAs corresponding amino acid is attached (by aminoacyl-tRNA synthetases). tRNAs cope with the degeneracy of the genetic code in two manners: having more than one tRNA (with a specific anti-codon) for a particular amino acid; and 'wobble' base-pairing, i.e. permitting non-standard base-pairing at the 3rd anti-codon position. Lineage: Bacteria; Pseudomonadati; Candidatus Zixiibacteriota. The record is from RNAcentral.